CGGCAGCCACCUCGGAUACCCUGACUCAGCAUUUCCGGGUCCACCUUUCUUGUUCCCGCCGCCUCAGUGAACACGCAUGCCCACUAAAGCACAUCACUAAGGCACAUCACUCAUCUAUAUAAGCGCGCUGCACCUUUGGCACAGCGCGACUUCCCUGACCCUCCCCCUGCAGACCACUGAACCUCGCCGGAGAGCUCAAUUAAGAAGAUUUUUGCCCUCUUUGUCUCGCCUCUCGGCCUUAUUGAUCCACGGUGCCCUUCCAUUGCCUUUCAUUGGUGCCAAAACCCGGGAAGGGACACCUCCUAAGCCCCCCAGAGGCUCGAGGGGACUCCCCUCCUGGUCAGAUCAGGCUUCUUCCCCACGGCUACCCAUCCGUUUCGUUCGGUUACUUGCCACCAGGUUGCAGCUGCUGCAGCCACUCCAGUCCAAUUCGGCUGACGCUGGGAGAAAAGAAUUGGGAGAAUAUCUAAAUCUCUUCUAUAUAUGAGGUGAAGGGCCAUGCCUGGCAGACUACAUGGGGAAUCAGAGGAUCAAGAGGAGUGAAGAGAGGAUCCCUGGAGGAAUGCCCGUCCUCCCUCCACUGACAGCAGCCACAGUUACUAACAGGGUCUUUCUGAUGAGGAGAAUCUGACAGGACCCAGUUGAGCAAGGACUGGAACUGCUUUUGGGGAAUAGGAAAGACAACUGAAAACAAAAAGCCUACCUGAACCUCUUCCAAAAAAAAAGGGAAUACAUUGGAGAAAAAAACACAGUAGUUGAAAUUUCAGUCCUCAGUGGUGGAAAGUUGCUACUGGUCUUGUUAUAAUGACACAACGUUGUGUGAAAUGAUGUUACAUGAGGACCUGCUGUAAUCAAAUGAGCUGAAGUUCACCAAAGAUGGAAUAGAAGUCAGAGAGUGAGUUUUAGGCAAGUAAAUAUAUGCAAGAACCCACUUACCUGGUCUUCUGUAAGAGGAUUGAGGUGUGCAUGAGAAGAUAUUAGAAGACUUUAGCUGCCAGAGAAGAUAAUUUGGAAAUCAUCUGCUCCGCCAUUAAUAGAGAGACAGAAUAUCACUGGUGAAAGAGAAAUCACAAUGGGAUCUGAUGGAGAAGGCCACACACAUCUGUAGGUCUUGGAUUUUUUGCUGCAUAGAGUAAUCAGAUGAGAGCUUGGGUGGUCUCCCUUGAUAAGGAGGGUUCAAUGCAGGAGGAAUAAGG
RNAcentral lists this long non-coding RNA (1196 nucleotides) under Homo sapiens (human). Its description in RNAcentral is "HSALNT0171445". Lineage: Eukaryota; Metazoa; Chordata; Mammalia; Primates; Hominidae. The record is from RNAcentral.